RNAcentral lists this ribosomal RNA (209 nucleotides) under uncultured Sphingobacteriales bacterium. RNAcentral's name for it is "partial 16S ribosomal RNA". It matches the Rfam family "Bacterial small subunit ribosomal RNA", at positions 1173 to 1382 of the family's 1533-position model. Lineage: Bacteria; Pseudomonadati; Bacteroidota; Sphingobacteriia; Sphingobacteriales. The record is from RNAcentral.
GUGGGGAUGACGUCAAAUCAGCAGGCCCUUAUGUCCAGGGCUACACACGUGUUACAAUGGCCAGUACAAAGGGCAGCUACCGGGUGACCGGAUGCUAAUCUCUAAAGCUGGUCUCAGUUCGGAUCGAAGUCUGCAACCCGACUUCGUGAAGCUGGAUUCGCUAGUAAUCGCGCAUCAGCCAUGGCGCGGUGAAUACGUUCCCGGGCCUU